CUCAUGAUGAUUGACGUAACAUCACAGACUUUGAGUCCCACUGAUACCAUUUAUUGUCGCCCACGUCUGACGC
Non-coding RNA from Angomonas deanei, 73 nucleotides. The record is from Rfam. NCBI's taxonomy places the organism in Eukaryota, Euglenozoa, Kinetoplastea, Trypanosomatida, Trypanosomatidae.